Molecule: ribosomal RNA, 468 nt
Filed under: uncultured bacterium
Lineage: Bacteria
Description: partial 16S ribosomal RNA
Rfam family: Bacterial small subunit ribosomal RNA
Source: RNAcentral
GACGAACGCUGGCGGCGUGCUUAACACAUGCAAGUCGAACGGAAAGGCCCUGCUUUUGUGGGGUGCUCGAGUGGCGAACGGGUGAGUAACACGUGAGUAACCUGCCCUUGACUUUGGGAUAACUUCAGGAAACUGGGGCUAAUACCGGAUAGGUGCUCCUGCUGCAUGGUGGGGGUUGGAAAGUUUCGGCGGUUGGGGAUGGACUCGCGGCUUAUCAGCUUGUUGGUGGGGUAGUGGCUUACCAAGGCUUUGACGGGUAGCCGGCCUGAGAGGGUGACCGGCCACAUUGGGACUGAGAUGCGGCCCAGGCUCCUACGGGAGGCAGCAGUGGGGAAUAUUGCACAAUGGGCGGAAGCCUGAUGCAGCAACGCCGCGUGCGGGAUGACGGCCUUCGGGUUGUAAACCGCUUUCGCCUGUGACGAAGCGUGAGUGACGGUAAUGGGUAAAGAAGCACCGGCUAACUACGUG